AGAGCGAACGCUGGCGGCAGGCCUAACACAUGCAAGUCGAGCGCCCGUAGCAAUACGGGAGCGGCAGACGGGAUAGUAACACGUGGGAACGCGCCCUUCGGUUCGGAAUAACUCAGGGAAACUUGAGCUAAUACCGGAUACGCCCUUACGGGGAAAGAUUUAUUGCCGAAGGAACGGCCCGCGUCCGAUUAGCUAGUUGGUGAGGUAAUGGCUCACCAAGGCGACGAUCGGUAGCUGGUCUGAGAGGAUGACCAGCAUCACUGGGACUGAGACACGGCCCAGACUCCUACGGGAGGCAGCAGUGGGGAAUAUUGGACAAUGGGCGCAAGCCUGAUCCAGCCAUGCCGCGUGGAUGAUGAAGGCCUUAGGGUUGUAAAGUCCUUUUAACGGGGAAGAUAAUGACGGUACCGUAGAAUAAGCCCGGCUAACUUCGUGCCAGCAGCCGC
RNAcentral lists this ribosomal RNA (446 nucleotides) under uncultured bacterium. RNAcentral's name for it is "SSU rRNA". It matches the Rfam family "Bacterial small subunit ribosomal RNA", at positions 26 to 518 of the family's 1533-position model. The record is from RNAcentral.